AUUCAACACCCAAUUGACUGAGCCACCAAGGUGCCCCUCACCAUAAUUACUUCAAUAAUUACUAGUUUACAUAAAACAUUUUUUUUUGACAGAUAAAGAUUUGUUUUAUUGAAGAACUUAUCUGUGUUGCUGCCAAAACCACUAUGUACAGACAACAGAGAGGAGAUUUUAUUUCUUGGUCUCUUCCUCCUUGGACAGAGUCUUGAUGAUUUCCUCCUUCUUGGCCUGGAGCCUCUCUUCACGGCGCUCGCGUGCUUCCUUGGUCUUAGAUCUGCGGGCCUCAGCCUGGUCAAUGUGGCGGUCAAUCUUCUUAGAUUCACGGUAUCUUCUAAGCUGCCAGCGCAGAAUUCUCAUCCUCCUCAUCCAGGUUACCUUCUCAGGCAUCGAGCCCGGGAAUGGACAGUCACAGGUUUCCGGAUGAUCAGCCCAUCUUUGAUCAGUUUCCGGAUCUGCUGACGGGAGUUGGCAUUGGCGAUUUCACCUGUCUCAUUGGAAUCCAACCAGACCUUCUUUUUGCCACAGCGGAGGACACUGGAGGCAAGCCUCUUCUGAAGCCUGAGCAUACUCAUGGCUGCAGCCGCAGCGCCGAAAGGAAAGAACUCUAAAAUAAUUUUUCUAAUUCAAGUUUAAAUUUAUAUUGGAAAUGUUUAUACCAAGUUUGAACUAUAU
RNAcentral lists this long non-coding RNA (669 nucleotides) under Felis catus (domestic cat). RNAcentral describes it as "lncRNA (ENSFCAG00000043078.1)". Lineage: Eukaryota; Metazoa; Chordata; Mammalia; Carnivora; Felidae. The record is from RNAcentral.